AUGCCAGGUUGGCACCGGUCCCAGAAACUGGUCGAAAGCUCAUGAGAAAAUUUCUUCUCCCCCGAGACUCGAACCAGCGCGCAUUCCGUAACGCCGGUUCGAAGCGUGAUGCCUCAGACCACGCGGUUACGGCGCGGGACAUGUCACCUAUAAUAUUUACCUAAAUUUAAGACAGCAGCAGAGAAUAACACAAAUCAGAAGGUUGAGAUGCAAAGAAACGAGGAAUAACAGGUAUUAGUUUAUCCAACAAAAAUUAAUAAUCUUGUGUAUUGCCUUCAGUUACAUUUUCAUGUUUUUUAACCUGUUAUAGAGUCGUUGGCUGAGUCUGCAUAAUUCAGUACAUUCACUGUAAAUUAUGUAUCAUUUCUACUUAUUAUUAAUGUAAGAAACUUCCUGUGUGGUUCAUGUAACUUCAUGUUUAAAGUUCCAGCGAGCAGAAAUGUUUAUUACAGUUAUGUUUUCCCUCUUCUGAUAAUAUUCCUCUAUUCUUUCCAUCCACAAAUUUCAUCUUCGCAAUAUUAUACUACAGUUAUGGACUGGACGUGCAGUUCAAACUGUGAUAUCUGUAUUUUACAUAUUGACUCCCCUACCUGUCGUAAGUUUGUAGUAAAACGGAUAAUGAAAUGAGAUCACCCUGACAGUUUAUUAUCUUAUUAUAUGAAUUUAGAACCACCCUAAUUUUUUCCAAUACCAAAAUAUUCCUAAGUGCUUCAGAUUUGGAUAAGUAGAGAGAGGGAGAAAGAUAAGAUGGAUAGCAGAAGAGUAGAAUUUGCAACGAGGAAAUUGGUGGAAGGGGGAGAAGUGAAAGACACUUCGAUUUCAGGGGGAAAGAAAGAUCAUCUUAUAGUUAAGAGGGUCCCCAAGCAAUGCCCGCUCGUCCUUAUGGCAAGGAUAAAGUAAAGUAGGAGUGAAGACGUUAGGACGAUAAUUGGCAGAAAUGACGGAAAUUUUGAGUUUUAUAUUAGAAAAUGUGGAAGUUAUUAAUUUGGAAGUUUGGUACAUAAUUUAGCUGCUUCGACUGGGGAGAGGGGAGAUAAAUUUUGAUUAAUUUAAAUCGGGAUGGCUGCAUGAGAAGCAUGCAGUUGGAACUUGGGAACCAUCUCAGCAUUUGCUUGAAGACAGAUUUGGAUAAGUACAUUACUCUCAGUGUGACUUACGAGUAAGCGGUAAAAGAGAACAGUACGUCUAGCCUGUCACUGUCAAAGAAACAAAAUAGUAGUAUUACUGAUUCUUCUGUUUUGUUUCUAUAACGUGCUUCUUCACAUCUUCCUUCCUAUGUCUGCUUUGUACCUUCUGUGCUAAUUUUCAUGAUCUCGUAUAUCCCUUUCUCCGCCUCCUUAAUGUUAGGACUGAUAAUGGUAGUAGUGACAUUCGGAUGAUGAAAAUUAUGUGAUUAAAAGAGUUUUGUAUAUAGUGUCUCACAAAUUUUGUAUGUGCAUGUAUUUUCACAAAAAUACAAAAGUAAUUCUGAGGAGUACUAUUUUAAGUAUGUGGAGAAGAACACUUUUAUGGUCGGGAUGCAAAUAUUUGGAUUUGCGCAUGGUACGUCAUAUUACAGUGCAACUGUCUGUUGGGUUAACGGUGUCGUAACACAUCUCCUAUAGAACGUAAUGUGAAAAUACUUACAGUAGUAGAUUCUGAAAUAUUUUAGUUACUUUUUGAACUGCUAGUUUGAAGCCUUUCGUAACAAACUAACGAACAGUGCCUUUCUUUGUGUUUUUCUUGUCCUUGCGAAAUAUAGCAAAGUAAAGUGAAAUUGUACUUCCUGUUUACUUAAUUGUACUCCAUUGUACAAAAUAUGUGCAGGAAGUUUUAAUUUCAUCAAGCAAAUUCUUAUCAUAACCUGUAAGAAACAGGAUACUGUGAUAUAAUUUUUCAGUAUGUCUGUCAUUCCCUAAUAAUUUUUUAACCAACUGACAGUUGCUCAUGGAAUUUGGUAUGAAUAUCGUGCCGCUAGUAAAAGCUGCCUCUCCUUUGUACUUUUGAAUUUCUUGUCACCGGCAAAACCAUUACAGUAACCAUGUGAACUUCUGAUGUGGGAAACUAGACCUUCAGAUGUGCGACUUGUGUUAGUAUUACAUCUCAGUGUUAAAAUUACUAUGAGUCCUCAAAAAUUUUUCACUUAAUUUGUCAUUUCUCAUAUCUGUUAUCCACUAUGUAACACUAUUAUUCUGUACGUACAAGAAAUACUCCUAUCGAAAGAUUCUCAGACCAGAUCCUUAUGAUUUUGUUUCCGACUUAAUUUUUGUAAUGUUAAAUGAGAAUGCCAUGAGGCCGGUAGUCCCCACCGAGGAAUCAAAAUUGAAAAUUAUUCCUGAUUCUGAAUCUGGCAAAUGAGCAGUCAACAUCAGACAUGAAUGUGGAAUAAUGUCCAUAACAGUAAGAACUGUAGUUGAUAAACAAUAAUAUAAAUAUGAUGCAAAAUUAUGGAGUUUCACAGCUAAAUAAUUUAGAAGCAUAAAAACAUAUUUUGAUGAAAAUGAAGGUGAUACUGCUGAUUAUGAUUUCUGAUCAGCGAGCUAUGGAAGUUAAUGUGAAUUUCACUCUUUAUCAGGCAGAAAUCAAAGAGAAUUUUGAAAAGUCUCAAGACUAGUCUUUAAUUAUAUUUAUUUACAUGAAAAAUGAGUUUAGUGCUCAAAUUUAUGUCUUCUCUGGUACAAAUUAUCAUUAUAACACGCGAAUUCAUUGCUUCAUAUCCAUCAUAGUCUUAACGGACCAGUUAACACGCAUUAAGGAACCGCCAUAUAAAGAACCAUUGAAGCUAGGCAUGUGAAAUGUGUACAGUGUUAGGUCAGAACAACACAAAAUCUGCAAGAUGCAUUGUUUGAAAUGGUAACGUGUAGAAACAUGGCAAUGAGUGAAAAAUAGCCAACACAUUUAACACAAAAUGAGAAUCUGUUUUAGUGAAGAUUACAUGCAUAAAUGAAGCAUGAUUUGUGAAAUUAUGGUUCCUGUUAACUAACUCCAUGGAGCAUAGUCCAUCUUGAUAAAUUUAUAUUAUGUCCUCUUAUCUGUGCCUAGGUAUUCUGAGUGGUCUCUCCUGUUCAGAUUUUCCAAUCAAAAUUUUGUAUACAUUUCUCAUCUCUCUCCAUGCAUACUACAUGUACUUCCAUCUCAUCCUCCUUAAUUUUAUUAUCAUGCUUAUAAUAUUUAUUUAAGAGUACAAAUCAUGGAGCUUAUUAGGCAAUUUCAUCCAGUUUCGAAUCACAGUUUCCGAUGGAAUAAUCUAAAGGGAAAUAGACCUCAACUUUUAUUUCCCGAACUUCUGUCCACAACUAGCUAUACUUUGAGUACUACCUUCAUUUAGCUAUCAAAAUUGUUAACAAAAAUAUCAGUGAAUGGCUUGAACAUGUUCAAGCAGCCGUCUCAAGUAACGUCCUGUUUGAGAGCACGGUCACUUAAUUUUGCCGUCAGAUACAGCACCACGUGGCUUCUCCAGGAAUUAGUGUGGUGGGUUGACAUAUCAACUUAAAUUUAAGAUGGCUGUCUUCCUGGUUGUAGUGCCAUGCAGUCUGGUAGAAGCUCGCCAACAUCUCGGAGGGUGAUCAUCACCCUUUUGAUUAAGGCAGCAAGUACAUCUGAAAUGCUGGUAAACUUCUACUCGAUUGCAUGGAACCACAACCCAGGAGACAGUCAUCUUCAUACUCACCAGCAUGAGAGCCUUGGAUUUGACUUAAAUUGUUACAAAUUAUAUUACUUCUUGGGUAGAGGCUGCCUGAUAACGCACAAUCAUCCACACAUGCAGUAAUGCCUUUCAUUAUGUGUCUUUCUCGUCAAACAUUGUACCCUCAGAAUUAUGUCUUGUGUAUAUUUUUAUUUAUUAAACUGUUUACACUUUCUGGAAUAUGUGUGUGUGUAUGUGUGUGUUGUUAAUAUAGUAAUAUACGGUACUUGUGGGUUAUCGGGACACAUCGCUUUAAAAAUAGGUUAGGUUAGGUUAUCUUAGGUUAGGUUAGGUUGCUAUGAAACUAUAUUUCAGUGAUAGAGUGAAAUGGAGGUGCGGUAAACAAUAUUGCAGAACAACAACCUAACCUAACCUAACCUAUUUUUGAAGCGAUGUGUCCCGAUAACCCACAAGUACCUAAUAUACUUUUAAAACUAUAAUUCUGUACUUUAAUGUCCCAAAUUUCCCUUUUAAAGUUUAUGGAAACUAGAUGACACAAACUGUUGGUAAUAACUAGAGAAAGUUCCCAUUCUUUACCUGGGUUCUUCUUAAAAUAAAGUGUGUUGAAAAAACAAAA
This is a non-coding RNA of Zootermopsis nevadensis, 4241 nucleotides long. NCBI's taxonomy places the organism in Eukaryota, Metazoa, Arthropoda, Insecta, Blattodea, Termopsidae. The record is from RefSeq and is a predicted model, not a curated record.